CCCGUAGGUGGAUAAUUAAGUCAGAGGUGAAAUCCUGCAGCUCAACUGUAGAAUUGCCUUUGAUACUGGUUAUCUUGAGUCAUUAUGAAGUAGUUAGAAUAUGUAGUGUAGCGGUGAAAUGCAUAGAUAUUACAUAGAAUACCAAUUGCGAAGGCAGAUUACUAAUAAUGUACUGACACUGAUGGACGAAAGCGUGGGGAGCGAACAGGAUUAGAUACCCUGGUAGUC
RNAcentral lists this ribosomal RNA (228 nucleotides) under uncultured bacterium. Its description in RNAcentral is "partial 16S ribosomal RNA". It matches the Rfam family "Bacterial small subunit ribosomal RNA", at positions 568 to 795 of the family's 1533-position model. The record is from RNAcentral.